UGGGGAAUUUUGGACAAUGGGCGAAAGCCUGAUCCAGCAAUGCCGCGUGUGUGAAGAAGGCCUUCGGGUUGUAAAGCACUUUUGUCCGGAAAGAAAUCCUUGGCUCUAAUACAGUCGGGGGAUGACGGUACCGGAAGAAUAAGCACCGGCUAACUACGUGCCAGCAGCCGCGGUAAUACGUAGGGUGCAAGCGUUAAUCGGAAUUACUGGGCGUAAAGCGUGCGCAGGCGGUUUGCUAAGACCGAUGUGAAAUCCCCGGGCUCAACCUGGGAACUGCAUUGGUGACUGGCAGGCUAGAGUAUGGCAGAGGGGGGUAGAAUUCCACGUGUAGCAGUGAAAUGCGUAGAGAUGUGGAGGAAUACCGAUGGCGAAGGUAGCCCCCUGGGCCAAUACUGACGCUCAUGCACGAAAGCGUGGGGAGCAAACAGGAUUAGAUACCCUGGUAGUCCACGCCCUAAAACGAUGUCAACUAGUUGUUGGGGAUUCAUUUCCUUAGUAACGUAGCU
This 506-nucleotide ribosomal RNA is filed under the name uncultured bacterium. Its description in RNAcentral is "partial 16S ribosomal RNA". It matches the Rfam family "Bacterial small subunit ribosomal RNA", at positions 355 to 853 of the family's 1533-position model. The record is from RNAcentral.